GGCCACGGGCACGGCGUAGCCAUCGUCCCACUGGAGCUCGGCCAGCACCGAGGCGGCGGAGCGGCUGCCGGUGCUCUGCAUGGCCGCAGAUGGAUUUCCCAAGGCUGGUAACGCAAUGGAAGAAGCAAAAAUGGAAAGAGUGGUGGGUAGGAGACGGAACGUGUUGAAAGCUUGAAGGAUGGAGAAUCUGACAGAAUGGAAAAAGUCCAUUUCUCCAGAUCAGGCCUGUCCAGCAACAUUCAUUUCUGCUUUGAGUCUGCUCAAGUGAGUUUCUCAAGAAUGGAUGAAAGAUCAGGUUUGGAUAUUGUUUUGCCUAAGUGAGUUUUGCUAACAUAACUUUUUGCUUAGUAGAAGAGUUUUCUCCAUGUUAAGAUGGCCAAACAAGGGAGCAGUGUUUUAUAGUAGCACGUAGAAUUGCUAAACUCUAGAUGUAUUGCUAAACAUAUAUGUAUGUUACACAAAACAGGAAAGUUAACUCUGUUAGAGCCAAAAACAGUGAAUCUCACUAAGACAGUAGUAUGAUAAUUGAUACAAAGAGGUCAACUAACUUGCUUCAGAUUGCCUGCAACACCAGGUAGGAGAUGGGAAUUAUUUACUUGCUCUGGUGGUUUCACUCUCAAACUACACCACAGCCAUUCUCUCACUCCUCAUUUUCAAAGAAAGAUGGGGAAAGAUCCCUCCCAUGGGAUGAUGUCCUUCCCAAACUGAUCCUGUGUGGGCUUCUCACAGGCAGAAGCUCUUCAAGAACUGCCUGGAGCACCUCCUGCCCUCCUUCUCCACUGACCUUGGUGCCUGCACAGUUGUUUCUCGCUCAUUUUCUCAUUCUGCUGUCCUCAGCUGUUGUUGCACAGUAGUGUUUUUUUCCCUAAAUCUGCUUUCCCAGAGGCAGACCCAGCACUGCUUAUUGGCUCAGCUCUGGCCAUUGGUGUGGCCCAUUAGGAGCUGGCUCUGAUCUGACACGGGGCAGUUCCUGGGCUCUUCUCACAAAGGGUGUCCCUACAGCCCCCCGCUACUAAAAUCUUGCCACAUAAACCCAGCGUGCUUGCAUUUUGUUUUCAGACACAAAUAUAACAUCCUAUAUGAAAGUAAUUGUUAUUCUGGUUACAUGGGAUAGCCUGUAUCCAGUUCUUCCAUUCCAAAGUCCAUUUGUGCUGUAGAGAAUAUGUAGGGAUUGUGAAUGUACCCAUAAGUACCAUUCCACAGUUGAACUAAUUGCCAGGCCAAGCAAGGGACCACAGUAAAUGGGUGAAUAAUUUGAUCCAAGAUGGAUUUGUACUCUACCACACAGCCUGAAAUCUUCUAAUGCUUUUGGAUUUGACUGUGAGCUGUUCAUUGUUGUUUGAGCCUGUUAUUUUCUAUUACCGUAUUUUCUCUGGAUAUCAUUUGUGUACCUUAUCUUUGUAUAAAAGGCCACAUCUUUACCAUAUUUCUGGGGAGUAGUCUGUAGAAGCAUACAAAAUUUACUGCUGUAGACCAAAAUAUGACAGAUAAAGGUAGUGCAUUACAAAGUUCUUGCCCUCAAUCAUGCAGAAGGCUGCCUAUGCUUCUGUAAGCAGUGGUACAUAUGUGACUAUCCUGUAAGGGGAGAAGGGUUAAUGGCAAACUAAGACAUUUUCUGCAGCAAAAGCAGAGGCAAUCUUCACUAAGCAAUUGCCUUUUAUGUAAUAAACAAUGUCAUGUGUUCAGUGGUCAAUAAAGGAUGUUUUCUUGCCCUAAUCCCCUUCCAUUUAACUUAAAAUAAAAAUGCUAUUAGUUUGACUAGCAGGCUAAUAUAUUGUGAAUCCUGACCAUAGAUGUUUGCAUAUUGAAUUUAUGCUGCUAGCAGCCUUUGUCUUUCCUUUCAUUGAAUAAAAUACAGUAAAUAAACUUAGACUAGAACUUCAGUGGUGUUAGGUACGUUUGGCAGAUUUGUCUCUUUAUAUACUGCAGUUUCUUUGCAAUACAGAGUACGCUGCUUUUCAUUACAGGCAAUUUUAGCUGCUUUUGUCUGAAAAUUGAGCUCUAAUUACUAAUGAGUACUUUCUAAAAUAAUUUAAUCUUGGGAAAGAAUGCAUGUAACGUAAUUGUUAAAUAUCUACUGGCAAGAUAGGUAGCUUGUGUUUUCACUAACCCUUAAAGGAGGUUAAGGUUUGAUAACUCAAGAGAAAUGGCAAAAGCCAUGAUACAUGAUUAAAGUAAUUAAGCAUUUAAAGAUUAUGACAGCAUAUCUGUGUUUCUUUGUAGAAGCCUUGACUUUCAAGGCAUGUGAUUUUUUUCCUCAUGGAUGUGUUGAAUUUUUUGGUACAGAGCAGCCACACAAAUGAAUGUUCCAUAGCUGAAAAUCUCCAUGCUAGUUAAAGGAAACAGAAGGGGCCAGAGAUUUGAGGCAACACACUGAUAGGUGUUUCUGUGCUGCAAAUAAAUUGUGUCCAUCUCCUGUUCUUUCUAGUGAAAUGCACAUACUGUCAUCUCUUUACUCUUUUUUUUGCUUUGGAGACAUGUUGAUUGAAGAACACUUGCACUCAAAAAAGAAAAAUGAGGCACAGAAUUCAAGAUAAAGUUAAUUAUAUUUAGUAUUCUCAAAGGCUAUAUGCAGAGGUAGUGGAAAUUACAAACAGAUCCAUUCCAUAUAUAUGUUUAGUAUCACUUCUUUUUUUUAUAAACAGAGUAACAGUAAAGCCAGGGCAGUGCCAUGGAAGGCCAGUGGCAUUACAGUUGCAGGAAUCUGGUCAAAGAGAAGAACUGAGCCCUGACCUUAGCCACAGCUAUUCCUAGCACUGCUAGAGUCUCAAGUAAUUGCUAUUUCUUCAGUUCCUCACUUUCAUCUGUGAGUCCCUCAGUGCUUGAAUAUUUUUUCUUCUGACUUAAAAAACUACAUCUAAUACAAUUCCUUCUUUUCUUCCUCAUUUUGGUAGUAUUGAGGGUACUGGAACAGUUAUUACUUGUUUAUUUCUUAUCAGUUCUGUUUUUGUUUUUGGUUUUUGUUUUUUUUGUGUGUGUGUGGGAAGAAAUUGGCCUUCUUCCCACCAGCAUACAUAGAGCCAGAAAAUGCCCCACAGUUGUCAAGGCAACAGCUUUUGAUGGAGAACAGCAGAAGGAAAUGUGGCAGGAACAUCCUCCAGAGAACCAAGGUCUUUUGUUGUUCAUCCUAUAAAUGUGUGUGGUCCCUUUUCUUCAAAUGGUAUCAAUUUAUGCAUUAGGGAUAAUAAGUUAUACACAGUGCAGUAUAAUGAGAUGGAGCUCAUGCUUCAGACAAAAACAUUCUAAUACUUUCUCAGGUAUAUACUUGUGGGCCCAAAGUGAUCUUCUCUUCAAUGUAUUUGUUCUGUUGUGUACAUAUCCAUAGAAAAUAUUGGCAUAAAUCACAUAUUUUUAGAAUAUUGGGGCAGAAAGUGAGCUUGGCUUUCUUUAGGACAUAGAACUUUUAGCAAUUGGAACUUUCUGAUUAAUAUUUUUUGAUACUAUUCAGUACUCCAGAAGAAGGAUGAUUUUAUUUCCCACCCUGGACAAACUUACUAAAAGCAGUCAAACAGAUCCUCAGUGUCUCAUCUGAACCAACAGAGCUAUGUUAAAUUGUAUCUGCUGUGGACAGUGAUCUGCAUGAAUUCAGCAUGGAAAACAUCAUUGCUGGAGUGCUGGAAAUGACCAUAGUCUAGGUCAUCCAUUCUAGUAUGAGGGCAAAACCCAAGCAAUUUUUCUGUGUAGUACUGUUGGAAUUUCGACUGCCUGAACACGGAAGAGUUAGAAUAUCUUACAUCUCUAUAAUACAGUUGGAGGCUCAAAGCCUAUUUCCAUGGAGGCAUAAAAAAUGUUACAUUUCCCAUGAAACUAUCGGGAAUUUAAUAAUGUUUUGUACAGGGAGAUCAGGUGGUCCUAAGUCUUGUUACUGCACUCUGUCAUGGAAUGUUACAGUCUUCAUGCAAUAGUUAAUAUUUCUAAAGUGUAUAUUUGCUGUCAUGUUUGCUAUAUGUCCAGUAAAGUAUUAUGUAAUAUAAUAUUUUUUAUUA
This is a non-coding RNA of Phasianus colchicus (ring-necked pheasant), 3986 nucleotides long. The record is from RefSeq and is a predicted model, not a curated record. Lineage: Eukaryota; Metazoa; Chordata; Aves; Galliformes; Phasianidae.